RNAcentral lists this ribosomal RNA (260 nucleotides) under uncultured archaeon. Its description in RNAcentral is "partial 16S ribosomal RNA". It matches the Rfam family "Archaeal small subunit ribosomal RNA", at positions 748 to 1008 of the family's 1478-position model. The record is from RNAcentral.
CAGCCGUAAACUAUGCGCGUUAGGUGUAUCGGUGACCACGAGUCACCGAGGUGCCGAAGGGAAAUCGUGAAACGUGCCGCCUGGGAAGUACGGCCGCAAGGCUGAAACUAAGGAUUGGCGGGGGGAGCACAACAACGGGUGGAGCCUGCGGUUUAAUUGGACUCAACGCCGGACAACUCACCGGGGAACGACAGCAAUAUGUAGGCCAGGCUGAAGACCUUGCCUGAAUCGCUGAGAGGAGGUGCAUGGCGUCAGUGACU